UCUAGCUGGCAGCCCACUGAAGCGAAGCAGGGAUGUGCCUGGUCAGUACCUGGAUGGGAGACCGCAUGGGAAAACUAGGUUGCUGCCGGAA
This 91-nucleotide ribosomal RNA is filed under the name Danio rerio (zebrafish). Lineage: Eukaryota; Metazoa; Chordata; Actinopteri; Cypriniformes; Danionidae. The record is from RNAcentral.